RNAcentral lists this ribosomal RNA (493 nucleotides) under uncultured bacterium. RNAcentral's name for it is "bacterial SSU rRNA". It matches the Rfam family "Bacterial small subunit ribosomal RNA", at positions 38 to 507 of the family's 1533-position model. The record is from RNAcentral.
GGCGGCGUGCCUAACACAUGCAAGUCGUACGAGAAAGUCGGCUUCGGCCGAUGAGUACAGUGGCGCACGGGUGAGUAGCGCGUGGGUAAUCUGCCCCCCGGUCAGGAAUAAUCCGCCGAAAGGCGGGCUAAUACCCGAUAACACUGACGCUCCGCGGAGCGUCUUUCAAAGAAGGCCUCUGUUUACAAGCUUUCGCCGGAGGAUGAGCCCGCGUACCAUUAGCUAGUUGGCAGGGUAAUGGCCUACCAAGGCUACGAUGGUUAGCUGGUCUGAGAGGAUGGCCAGCCACACUGGAACUGAGACACGGUCCAGACUCCUACGGGAGGCAGCAGUGAGGAAUUUUGCGCAAUGGGCGAAAGCCUGACGCAGCAACGCCGCGUGACUGAUUAAGCUCUGAGGAGUGUAAAAGUCUGUCGUAGAGGAAGAAACUAUCCGAUAAGAAUAUUGUCGGAUACUGACGGUACUCUAUGAGAAAGCUCCGGCUAACUACGUG